RNAcentral lists this small nuclear RNA (146 nucleotides) under Triticum aestivum (bread wheat). Its description in RNAcentral is "snRNA U4". It matches the Rfam family "U4 spliceosomal RNA". Rfam says of the family: U4 small nuclear RNA (U4 snRNA) is a component of the major U2-dependent spliceosome. The structure of U4 snRNA from yeast and human has been reported. U4 snRNA presents a k-turn RNA motif in the 5p-SL related to recognition of Snu13 protein. RNAcentral also lists the same sequence under 1 other name. The record is from Rfam by way of RNAcentral. Lineage: Eukaryota; Viridiplantae; Streptophyta; Magnoliopsida; Poales; Poaceae.
AUCUUUGCGCUUGGGGCAAUGAUGCAGCUAGUGAGGUUAUACUGAGGCGCGUCAAUUGCUGGUUGAAAACUAUUUCCAAACCUCCUUUUUGACUCUUACGGGUCAUUGAGAAUUUCUAGAAGGGUUCCCUCUUUGAGGGUAAAACC